AAGUCUUGAAGGGCUCAAAACUGGGCAGGUUUUCUCGAGCCUGAAACAGAAAGGAAAGGUGUGAGGGUGUACUCCUUCCUCCGGGCCAGGGUUUGGAGACGCCUGUGGACAGGAGCAUUCGUGGCUUCGCAGCCAGUGGCAGCAGUCCAACAGGACUGAGGACAGAAGCAGCCAACUCCUUCAGGACUCCUUCAGGUAAUCUCACUUUGACUCCUCCACUCCCCUGGUGCUGCUGUAGCAGUUGAUUGCGCCCAACGAGCCUCCCUAACACCUUAGAGGAGCUGCACAGACACCCAGAUUCUGUCUCCCAGCUGCCAGGCCUGGAGUGACAAGUCCCACGUUAUCCCACACUUGACUCUGUCUGUGCCAGGAGGCUAAGCUCCAGGAAACCAUUUCUGAGAUGGUCCCCCUUCAGCUGUUCCUAGCUUGGAACAAUUCACAGACCCUGGGACCCAAGGCCUGCAUUGCCUGGCCCCCCACAGAGCUCGGUCAGAGAGAGCCACUGGACUGGGCCUGAGACCGGAGCUGUCAGGCUGUGUUCAGUGACCAAGAGAAGGGACAGACAGAGCAGGCAAAGGACUGUCAGCCGCAGGUGAGCAUCACUGCAGCAGGGUGAUGCCCCAGUGCCCCCAGCCUCUGUACGGCAGGGGCCAGGCCGGCUGCUGCCUCAAGCUUCUCUGAAGAACUCAGCACCACCUUCAGGCAAGUGUGUGGCACUAGCCCUCACCGCCUUGCAUUUGCCCGGCUCCUGCCCGUGAUCCAGAGCUAGUCACCUGGAUGUGGCAAUAAGUCAGACCCUUGAGAAGGAGGGGCCCUAGUCUUGUUGAUGCCCUGGGACCCAGGUUAGGCUCACCCACCCCCACAGGGCAGCUUUGGCCUUUUACAGGAAGCUGAUAGCAGGGGGCAUAGGCAGGGGUUUCUCCUGCAGUAAGCAAGUCAUCCUGACCUCUCUGUAUUCUGUCGCCUCCUUCUUGGGCCCUGAGUAGGACACAAGGUGUACAGGUCUGGUUAAUUUUGGCUGAUCCUUUGAAGUGAAAAAGAAUAUGCACAGGAGGAAGGGACAUGAGCUGACAGUUUCCUGGGCUUUUCCAUAACUGUGCUGUGUAAAUGUAACUGUCACAUGGGAAAAGAAUGCGUCCACACUGCCAUAGAUAUUCCCAGUAUGAACAGAAGGUCAGAGUGUGGCUAUUUCAGUCCCUGUAAACAAGGAAGGGGUUUAGCUAGGAACAGAGUUCAAACCCUGGAAUGUAUGAACAAGGACAUUUUAAGUAGAAGGCAGAGACAUCCGGGAACACCAUGGAGGGUUAGAGGCUGUUUAGAGAGCAGACUCAAGUCAGAAUCCCUGAGAGAGUGGGGUGGGGGGUCACUACAGCAUGCCUGUGACAGGAUGGACAAGGGAGAAAGAUAGUGCUCCAAACUGAUGUUUUCGAUCAAGGACAAGUGAAAUGAAGAUCCCAAGAGGAAGUCUGAGAACUCAGGGAUGGCUGGGUGGGGGGUUCCAGGUGCUUGGAGGGUGCCCCAUUUUGCUACCUGUUCACUAUGACUUCUUUCCCAAGAAUUUCUGUUUCCCUCUGUUCACUCUCAAUAAACAUGGUUUCAUUUUA
This is a non-coding RNA of Manis javanica (Malayan pangolin), 1604 nucleotides long. NCBI's taxonomy places the organism in Eukaryota, Metazoa, Chordata, Mammalia, Pholidota, Manidae. The record is from RefSeq and is a predicted model, not a curated record.